Molecule: unclassified non-coding RNA, 442 nt
Filed under: uncultured Ascomycota
Lineage: Eukaryota; Fungi; Ascomycota
Description: sequence contains ITS2
Rfam family: 5.8S ribosomal RNA (bases 1-154)
Source: RNAcentral
AACUUUUGGCAAUGGAUCUCUUGGUUCUCGCAACGAUGAAGAACGCAGCGAAAUGCGAAAAGUAAUGUGAAUUGCAGAAUUCAGUGAAUCAUCGAAUCUUUGAACGCACAUUGCGCCCCCUGGUAUUCCGGGGAGCAUGCCUGUUUGAGUAUAUGGAACGUAUAUCUUGUGUUGGGGUCUUAAUUUUAGAGAUCCCGGCUCGGAGGAACUGGCCGGUCCGUGGGCGCAAUCCCGCGGUAGGCCCAAACACAGGAAUAGGUCUGGGACGGGGCGGACGAACGCGUGACAAGUCUUUAUGGACAUAACCGCUUAGGAAUCCCCCUCCCAACAACGACCUCUCCAUCGCACAAUUUUGCGGGAGGCUUAACCCCCUCCCCAUCCCUCCAAUCUCAAAUCAGGUAGGAGUACCCGCUGAACUUAAGCAUAUCAAUAAGCGGAGGCU